UCGACAUUUUCAGGUUUUGUA
Molecule: non-coding RNA, 21 nt
Filed under: Caenorhabditis elegans
Lineage: Eukaryota; Metazoa; Nematoda; Chromadorea; Rhabditida; Rhabditidae
Source: RNAcentral